ACUACUAAAUUACUAAUACGAGCCACAACAGUUACCUGCUAAAUAACUAACCAAAAACCAUUCAAUUUACAUUUAUGUAUCUUGACUCUGGCAAAACUGCCGGAAAAUUUGGGGGUAGUACCGUACCUGGUACCUUUUAGCCUUCGGGCCCUUAUCCUUUGUAUUUUUGCUUUCAGAGUCAACGGUUAAGUUUGCAAAUACUUUACAGUAGUAUUGCUGAGGAAUGACGGAACAGGAAUUAACCGAUCCUCGAUUGAGACAGAUAGCGUCCUGUUUUACAAUCCACGACGACUUUCCCAUCAAAGGCGUACGAUUCAGGAACAUUUUGCCACUUUUCCGGAAUCCGGAAAUUUUCCAGCUACUUGUUGACGUGUGCGUUGAACGAAUCAAAGAAAAGUUCGGUGGGCCUAUCGACCUGAUUGUCGGUCUGGAAUCACGAGGAUUUUUGUUUGGUCCAUCGGUUGCAUUAAAACUCCGUUGUGGAUUCGCCCCAAUCAGGAAGCCAGGAAAACUGCCGGGAAAUGUGGCGCGUGUUGAAUUCGCCAAAGAAUAUGGCAAAGAUGUUUUUGAAAUGGAAGCCGGUGCUAUCAAACCUGGUCAGGGUGUGGUUGUGGUGGAUGAUGUUUUGGCCACCGGUGGAUCCAUGGCUGCUGCGUCAGAGCUGGUUCGCCAUGAAGGCGGAAAGCUAUUGGGAUGUUUUAUUGUUGUUGAUUUGUCGUAUUUGCAUGGUCGUCAGAAACUGCCACCAAGUAUUCCCUGUGAAGCUUUGUUCUCAUAUUCCAGUUGAUUCCCCUUCCCUUUGAAGUAAUUGCGCAUCUUAAACGAAAUUUGGAACAGUUACAUUUUCAGUUCCCCCGCUUUCCCCCUUCAUCAAACCGUACAUUGUUAUCUUCGGACGGUCACAAUUGCAGACUUUUGAACAUUACUGUUGAUGGAUAAAUUAUUGAAGUGCCUUAUUAUUUAUUUGAUUAGUUUGAAUUUAUUAAUUGAUCAUCUGGCUGAUCGAUGAUUGUGCUCACCCGAUGUACCAUGUCAACACUUGCUGAUGCGAGCUGUACACUACUAUUAUGUUGUUACCGAUACUUCUGUGCUUAUUGUCAAUCUUCCUUUUUUCCCUUGUUUUGAUGGUUUGAUAAUCUGCUGUGCCGACUCUUCGUUUCCGGCACACCGUUGAGAUAUUCCUGCCCGUUGAAAUGAUUUUAACUUUAUCAAAAAAGCAGAAGCUACCCUAGUUAUUCUAGUUAAAAAUUACAGA
Paramacrobiotus metropolitanus is the source of this 1255-nucleotide RNA transcript. RefSeq lists it as uncharacterized. NCBI's taxonomy places the organism in Eukaryota, Metazoa, Tardigrada, Eutardigrada, Parachela, Macrobiotidae. The record is from RefSeq and is a predicted model, not a curated record. The transcript is spliced from 6 exons.